UAUUACUACGUUACACUGCAUCCCUUUUCUCACCGUGGACCCGAACCUGGUAGGGGGACAGGGGGAGGGGCGGGGAAGCUCUACUGAUAAUACCAGCUUUAACUACUAGAGUUUCCCUUUGAACAAAUAUUCAAUUUAACUGGAGUUAAUUUACCAUAAAAGACAUUCCCCUUGGCACAAAUGCACUCGUGUCCUUGAACACACCUCUCUGAAUGCCUAGACUCACAGAAACCAUUAUUUUUCGGGGUCUCUUUAAAAAAUCGAGUGCCCAUCUCCCUUUCUCUCCCUCCCUUCUGCCCUCCCUCCUCACCACACCACCCCCAGUGAAAUCCUGGCACCCAGAGAGCACUCCUUUCAGCCAGAGAUCCCAGAACCAGCCGCUGUCCCCUGGCAAAAGAGGCCCAGUGCUGAGCCCUGGGCAAGUGUCUGCAGACAUCGGUGCCCCUCCUCCCUGAUUAGUUUCCCUUCCCAACAGAAACCACUUCCUUUUGCCACCAAAACUAGGCUGCAUCCUAAAGUUUCUCACAAGCUUAAAAACGAGAAAUGAAAAUUGACAACCGUUACACAGAGGAGCUCACAAAAGCUGCAGCAACAGGAGGGGUGAAGGAGCAGCGACAGACACAGGCCUUGGAGCCACAGGCAGGAUGGCUGACAUCCCCCACAACACUGCUUCUUGUCCAGCCAAUGCCAAGGUCACUACAGGCCUUCCCAGGAUGAACUCUAAGAGAGCCUUUGUAAAGACUGACUGGUGGAUUUGCCUGUGUGGGACAUCUGGCUUCUCUCAGCACAACACUAGUCCUCCACUAUCUUUGGUUGGAGAAAUACUAAUCUUUUAAGUCCCCAGAAGAGAUUAAAAAAGGAAGUAAGAAAGUAUAUACAUUUUAGCCACUUUCCUUUUUCCCCAGUAUGUCUGUGCCGUGGUAUUAAGACUGAUUUUAAAGUAUCGCUGAAAAGCUUCUGAUACUGUAAGAAUGGGCCAGACACUUCUCAGACAUUGGUACCUACCUCUCCUAAACUCUGUUCUCUUUCCCACAGUGAUACACUUAGAACAGCUGGUAUGACAGGCCAAUUUCAUUCACCCCAAAAGCUGGCUUAAGGAGUUAGAAAGAAGUGAAAGGUUCCUGCGGCAACAGGAAAAUCUGAUAUUUCAGAAUUCCUAAAGAUUUCCUCCCUAGAUCAUCUAUCACCUGCCUCCUUAUAGGUAAAAAAAAAUUCGUUUCUGACAAAUAGUUUAUUGAUUUCAAGAAGUAAUGCCAGUGCUUCAAAUGACUAGAUUUUUCAAAACUCAGUUGUAUAAUAUUAAAAACUUAAUCAGUGUUUACCCCAUUGUAGCCUUUCAGUGACGUCCAGAGAGGAGUUUGACAUCUCAAGUAUCUCCUAAUAUUGAUCUUCUUUUAACCUCCCUUGUAAAGAAACUCAGUGGCAGGUUGAAAAUCCUAGGCAGUUUAGGGAAAAGUUUCUUGGAGCUUAACAAAGCUGUCAUUUUCAAUACAUCGGAUGACUUUUUCUCUAUUGCAUAUGAUUUGAAGGGGAGGCUCAAUAAUUCCACACACCCUGGCUUCACUGCCAAUAUCAAUAUUUUAAAACUAAAUACAAAAGACACAGAUGACCUCCUGACCCCAGGAAAUAGGCCUGUGAAACUGUAAGUAUCCACCACACCAUGCCCAGGGACCUUCCUUCUUCCAAAUAAACCACAAAAAAGAAUGUGUAGCUAGCCUGGAAAACACAGUUUUAUAUUCACAAGCAGGAACACCAAAAAGCCUCUCAAAAACGCUUAUAUAAACAACCAACAAGUACUGAAAUUGCCUGCACUUGAUGGGAAUUGCAAAACCAUGCCCAGCUCUCUCAGCCCUUAAACUACUACUGUAAAAUGAGGGUAGCAAUUUUUUCAUACUAGAAAAUUCACAACCUGUUAGGCUCCCCACCCCGCCCCCACCCGUAUUGCCAGGCUUUGCCUUUCACUGAAAUGAAUAAGUAACCACGGACUUUUUUUCCCUCCUCUGGGAGCUGUUUGGUGUCCCCUGAGGACAAAACUAAAUGAGAAAAAUGACGUUGUUAAUGUCAUUGCUGAAAUGCCUGUACUCCACUGUUAAA
Phyllostomus discolor (pale spear-nosed bat) is the source of this 2094-nucleotide long non-coding RNA. RefSeq lists it as uncharacterized. Lineage: Eukaryota; Metazoa; Chordata; Mammalia; Chiroptera; Phyllostomidae. The record is from RefSeq and is a predicted model, not a curated record. The transcript has 2 exons.